GUUUCGGUUUCCUACAUGCUCUUCGAGAUAUUUGAAGAGUACAGGCGGAGACAGAAUGUUCUUCGUCCGUAACUAUAAAAGUAAUAACUUGUGGCAUACAGUUACCUAUUAUUUAACGUGAUUGCGACGAGACAGUUUUGCUUGGCAUGCUCAUGAUGUACGUUGAUUGGCUGCUGUCAACGAUUUCCUCUUACGAUCAACGACAUUCUGAGUGUAUUGCAUCAACGUUUCAUGCGAUAUCACCUGAGUUUGAUUCGAUGUACAAUUUUCGAAAAACAUCCGUUUACGCUUUCCGGUUCUAUUAUCGCAAAAGCAUCUUGAAAGAAAAUGAACUUAACAAAAGAUGAAAGUAAAGACUUGGAUUUUCUAAACGAGAUCAACUGGAUUACUGUACGACGUUCAAGAAUUUAUGACGCUUUAAAUGCGUAAGUUAAUGAAUACUAUUUUAAGUCUUACAUCGUUCACGAUGAAAGUGAAAUAAAAAUUCUUGUAACGAGUAA
Long non-coding RNA from Bombus terrestris (buff-tailed bumblebee), 500 nucleotides. RefSeq lists it as uncharacterized. Lineage: Eukaryota; Metazoa; Arthropoda; Insecta; Hymenoptera; Apidae. The record is from RefSeq and is a predicted model, not a curated record. The transcript is spliced from 2 exons.